RNAcentral lists this long non-coding RNA (2690 nucleotides) under Mus musculus (house mouse). Its description in RNAcentral is "long non-coding RNA chr18:53245624-53248314". The record is from RNAcentral. Lineage: Eukaryota; Metazoa; Chordata; Mammalia; Rodentia; Muridae.
ACACCUCGGCCCCGCCGAGCCCCACGCCGCCCGCGCCCGCCAACCUCGCGCCGCCGACUAAGGUCCGGGCCGCGCACCUCGGGCCGCGCGCGCGCCGGGAGGGGAGCGGGAGGCGGGGCGGUCUACGCGGUGCGGCGGAGCGGUGAGUGGCGCGGCCCCGCCGCGGCCAUGGAGGUCUACAUCCCGUCCUUUCGCCACGAGGACAGCGAUCUGGAGCGCGGCUACACGGUAGGCCGGUCCCCGCGGGUCCCCCGGUUGCAGCACCCCCCACACCUCCGCCGCCCGCGAGGUCGUCAUGGAGACUGGCGCCCCUCCCCAGCGCGCGCCCCCCCUGGGCUCCAUCCCUUCCCCCUCCGCGGCCCGCGGCCUCGGGAGCUUCAGGAGCCGGGCCGGCUGCCCUCUGCGUGCGGACUGAGAGGCUGUGUGCAGGUUCUUGAUGGCUUGCAAGUUCUGUAAGAUUCUUUCAGGUGGAGAACGGGUUACCAAGAAAAUAUAAAAAUAAAGGAAGAAAGGAAAAAAAAAAAGAAAGAAAAAAAUCAACAUUUUUGUGACUGCUCAUUAGCCAGGUUAAUAGAUUGAUUAUUUUUUAGAUUUUUUUUUUUGAGUUUGUUUCUUUUUAGUUCUGCAAUGGCAUGAAACGGCACAAUCAGGUGCUUUACCUUAGCACAUGUCCUGAACUCAGAGUCGCCCAGAAAUUCCAGACAGGUAGCUUGCUCAGUGUAGAAGCAAUCGAAGAGACCAGCUCUGGACCCUUAUAGGAAGAUGUUAAAUGAAUCAAGUGUUGGUUGAAUUCCUAGUCAAUUUAAGCUGCUCUGUCUAGAUAGCCAUUGCGACCCGGAGAGAUGCUUCAGAUUGGCUGGAACUUGCAAGACUUUAUUUGCAGUUGUUGGGAAGUAGUAUAGAAGGAUCAUGCCCCAGAUCCACAAACUUCGUUUCUUCUCUUUUUGACUGGCAGCUGUGUUUCUUUUCUAUCAUUGCAUUGGCCAGAGUUUCUUGUGAAAUACCAAACAGUACUUGUGAUGCGCUCUUCUGCUUGCUCCAAAUGAGAUGUUGAAUAAGACCUUUGCUGUUAGAGUUAGUCUGUCUCUCUUUCCUCCCUCCCCUCCCCGCCACCCCUGCCACUCCCCAGACAGGGUUUCUCUGUGCAGCCCUGACUGCCCUGGAACUCACCCUGUAGACCAGGCUUUGAACUCAGAGAUCCACCUGCCUCUGCCUCCCUAGUGCUGGAGUGGUGGAGACUAAAGGUGUGCACCACCAACCACCUCCACCUCCGGGCUAGAGUAGUCAGUCUUUAACAGAUGGAAGGUGUGUCUUGCUGUUUCGAGUAUAAGAAUUAAGAAUAGGUGUGCUACACAAUGUUCCCUUCAGGAUCUGUGGGAGUAUCUAAGUUUGGGAGUAUCUAAGUAGCGGAGCAGCCUGCAUGGAUGCGGUCUUACUCACUCAUGUCUUCCUGGCACAGUGUGUUAACCCGUCUUCCUUCCUCUAAACUAUGUUGUGUCUUGUGACAGUCGUUUUAAACCCUUAAGUUUUCAAAGUGGAAACUAAAUCUCCCUCUGAAAAGAGGAUGCCUAAGUCGUGUUCCCCCCACCCCCCCAAGUGGCUAAAGUGCACUCCAUGGUCAGGAACUGGUGAGAGGAAGCUGCACUCUGCGGGACUCUUUUCUUCUAUACAUUGCCCACCCCCACCCCCCAGUCACUUAAGGAGCUGGAACUGGAGCCCAUUUCAAGGGUCAGAAACCUUGACUGUAUUUUAUUCUUCCAGAACUCCCAAGUCUCCUGUUAGCAUCAGCAGCACCUUGCCUUUGAGAGGCAUUUUUUUUUUGGAGGUUUAAAGAUAAAAAGGCUUUGAGGACCUUGGGCUUCAGGCAGCCCAAGAGGAGAGGUAGUUAUCGGCACAAGUAAGAGAUGACAAUCCAGCUUCCUGGCCUAGCCCAUGACUGGAGAUGCUUGCUCCUCUUUACUUAGUGUUUGUUAAAGAUUGCAUUACAUGCAUUUAUUGUGUGAAGUGUGUGCCUGGGUCCUGUGUACUCCUGUGCCUCAGUUUAUGUGUGGGAGUCAGAGGCUACUUCUUGGAAUCAAUUCUCUCCUUCCAGCAAGUGGGUUCCUGAAAUUGAACUCACAUCUUCAGACUUGGCUGCAAAUGCCUGUAUCUUUUGAGCUACCCUGCUGGUCUUGUUUGUUGUUUGUUUCUUUGUCUCCUAUGUGACCCAGGCUGGCCUCAAAAUCAAAGCAGUCCUCUGAUCUCAGCUUCUUUGGGACUGGGUUUACAGGGGACAGGUGUAUACAACCAUAUCUGGCCUGAAUUUCUUUCAUUUGAGAACCUGAAUUUCCUCCCUGAAGUAUAUAUCCCUUAGUGAUUAUGACUGUGUGUUAUAUUAAAAGAACGAGAUGUGUAAUUCUUACUACUUCAGUGAUAGAGAGGUUAAGUAGAAACCACAGAUGGUCUGGAGUUAAGAUCUGUCUAACCAAAAUACAGCUCUCAUUCCAAAGGGAACAAGAGAGAGAGAGAGAGUCUGUCCUGUGCCAGACCUGAGUGACUGCACCCUGGGUACAUAUGGAUUCACAUUACCCCAAAUGGCAUGCUCUACCCUGGAAGUGAUUACAGGAGCUUUUACAGUCACAGGACAAAAGGUAGCCAUAAACUGAGACAUUUUUCAAAUACAUUUGGUCUGUCAUUUAGCAGCCAUGGGG